Molecule: ribosomal RNA, 301 nt
Filed under: uncultured bacterium
Lineage: Bacteria
Description: partial 16S ribosomal RNA
Rfam family: Bacterial small subunit ribosomal RNA
Source: RNAcentral
CAGUAGCCGCGGUAAUACAGAGGAUGCAAGCGUUAUCCGGAAUGAUUGGGCGUAAAGCGUGCGCAGGCGGUUGUGUAAGACAGGUGUGAAAUCCCCGGGCUUAACCUGGGAACUGCGCUUGUGACUGCACAGCUAGAGUAUGGCAGAGGGGGGUGGAAUUCCACGUGUAGCAGUGAAAUGCGUAGAGAUGUGGAGGAACACCGAUGGCGAAGGCAGCCCCCUGGGCCAAUACUGACGCUCAUGCACGAAAGCGUGGGGAGCAAACAGGAUUAGAUACCCCUGUAGUCCCUGUCUCUUAUAC